Molecule: non-coding RNA, 27 nt
Filed under: Mus musculus (house mouse)
Lineage: Eukaryota; Metazoa; Chordata; Mammalia; Rodentia; Muridae
Source: RNAcentral
GCUAAGGAUUGUUAACAGAAAAAUCCC